This 472-nucleotide long non-coding RNA is filed under the name Gallus gallus (chicken). RNAcentral describes it as "long non-coding RNA NONGGAT005685". Lineage: Eukaryota; Metazoa; Chordata; Aves; Galliformes; Phasianidae. The record is from RNAcentral.
CAGAGGCAGGGCAGCUUUCUCAGCCCCCGAGCUCGCAAAGGUGACCCAGGGACAGACAAACUGUGCUGAAGUCAGAAAUCAACUGGCAUAUUCAGUCUGGAGGAAUCUCCCAGGGUACCAGUCGAAUGCAUUAAGAGUGUAUUUCUCCAGCAAGAAGUGAUGGGAAGAGCACAGAGCAAAAAGAAGAAAGAAGCAGGGAAGAAGAUGAAGAAAUAAUCUCUCGAAGGACGCAGUAAUACUACCAUCUAACUAAAAAGAAUUCAGACAUGCACACAAUCCUCAGGAAAAUUCAUCUCCACCCUCCCAACGGACUCUGGUGAGAGCCCUUGAAGCGGUAAUUAAAGUCUAUUGAGUGGCAACUGCACCUGUUUAGAAAGGCGAAUGUGGGUAAGAGGUGCACAAAGGGAGAUGAGCAGCAGAGAAGGAGUGUGAGAGGAGCAGCUGGAGGUGGGGAAGGGAAGUGGUAAGAGGA